This 72-nucleotide transfer RNA is filed under the name uncultured archaeon. Its description in RNAcentral is "tRNA-Arg(tcg)". It matches the Rfam family "tRNA". Rfam says of the family: Transfer RNA (tRNA) molecules are approximately 80 nucleotides in length. The record is from RNAcentral.
GGACCCAUAGUUCAACGGAUAGAACAACAGGCUUCGGACCUGUAGAUGAAGGUUCAAUUCCUUCUGGGUUCG